Molecule: ribosomal RNA, 253 nt
Filed under: uncultured bacterium
Lineage: Bacteria
Description: partial 16S ribosomal RNA
Rfam family: Bacterial small subunit ribosomal RNA
Source: RNAcentral
UACGUAGGGGGCAAGCGUUGUCCGGAUUCAUUGGGCGUAAAGAGCGUGUAGGCGGCCAGGUAGGUCGGUUGUGAAAACUGGAGGCUCAACCUUCAGAGGUCGACCGAAACCAUCUGGCUAGAGUCCGGGAGAGGAGAGUGGAAUUCCUGGUGUAGCGGUGAAAUGCGCAGAUAUCAGGAGGAACACCGGUGGUGCAAACGGCUUUCUGGACCGUAACUGACGCUGAGACACGAAAGCGUGGGGAGCAAACAGG